RNAcentral lists this ribosomal RNA (424 nucleotides) under uncultured bacterium. RNAcentral describes it as "partial 16S ribosomal RNA". It matches the Rfam family "Bacterial small subunit ribosomal RNA", at positions 354 to 796 of the family's 1533-position model. The record is from RNAcentral.
GUGGGGGAUAUUGCACAAUGGAGGAAACUCUGAUGCAGCGACGCCGCGUGAGUGAAGAAGUAUUUCGGUAUGUAAAGCUCUAUCAGCAGGGAAGAUAAUGACAGUACCUGACUAAGAAGCCCCGGCUAACUACGUGCCAGCAGCCGCGGUAAUACGUAGGGGGCAAGCGUUAUCCGGAUUUACUGGGUGUAAAGGGAGCGUAGACGGAAUGGCAAGUCUGAAGUGAAAUCCUGCGGCUUAACUGCAGAAUUGCUUUGGAAACUGUCAAUCUGGAGUGUUGGAGAGGUAAGCGGAAUUCCUGGUGUAGCGGUGAAAUGCGUAGAUAUCAGGAAGAACACCGGAGGCGAAGGCGGCUUACUGGACAAUAACUGACGCUGAGGCGCGAAAGCGUGGGGAGCAAACAGGAUUAGAUACCCCGUAGUCC